UUGGAGGGCAAGUCUGGUGCCAGCAGCCGCGGUAAUUCCAGCUCCAAUAGCGUAUAUUAAAGUUGUUGCAGUUAAAAAGCUCGUAGUUGAAUUUCGGGAUUAGUACGCUGGUCGUGCCUUCGGUACGUACUGGUGUUACUGAUUUCUACCUUCUGACGAACCAUCAUGUCAUUAAUUUGGUGUGGUGGGGAAUCAGGACUGUUACUUUGAAAAAAUUAGAGUGUUUAAAGCAGGCUCGCGCUUGAAUACAUUAGCAUGGAAUAAUGAAAUAGGACGUUGAUCCUAUUUUGUUGGUUUCUAGGAUUGACGUAAUGAUUAAUAGGGAUAGUUGGGGGCAUUAGUAUUCAAUUGUCAGAGGUGAAAUUCUUGGAUUUAUUGAAGACUAACUACUGCGAAAGCAUUUGCCAAAGAUGUUUUCAUUAAUCAAGAACGAAAGUUAGGGGAUCGAAGACGAUCAGAUACCGUCGUAGUCUUAACCAUAAACUAUGCCGACUAGGGAUCGGAUGAUGUUAAUUUUUUAAUGACUCAUUCGGCGCCUUACGGGAAAC
Molecule: ribosomal RNA, 548 nt
Filed under: uncultured Glomeromycotina
Lineage: Eukaryota; Fungi; Glomeromycota
Description: SSU rRNA
Rfam family: Eukaryotic small subunit ribosomal RNA
Source: RNAcentral